CGGGGAAUCAGACUCCCCCUUCAGACGGCCAUCGUCCAAGCUCUGC
Non-coding RNA from Bradyrhizobium erythrophlei, 46 nucleotides. The record is from Rfam. NCBI's taxonomy places the organism in Bacteria, Pseudomonadati, Pseudomonadota, Alphaproteobacteria, Hyphomicrobiales, Nitrobacteraceae.